GGGGCCUGAAGGAAACGCCCAUCACUUAUCUCUUUACACGGCGCAUCCGUCCUCCACUCAUCCUCCUCUCAGUCUAUCUUUUUCUCUUCUCCUCCAUUAAAUUUCUCAACACCGCACGACGAGCUCGUCCAUGUCUCCGCUGACGGCGCAGCUAUCUGCUGCUGCUCCGACCGGGAGACACUGCGAGCCUGGGUCAGGCGUUGGAGCUCUGUAGCUGGUUAACCCCUUCCCUGCCCAUGCUACAAGGGGGAAGCACCUUAGUGCAAGGAAGACGACGAGGCCCCGCGGCCGGGGAGCAGCCGGCCAGAGAUGUUUCAACCGGCGGGGUCGGCGGAGAGUGGGGAUUUCAUAGCGAAGCUACAACAGCGACGGUGGUGACGAAAUUUUGCUACAUCCAUUGCCAGAUUUUGCUACGACGGGCGAGAUUUUUUGAUACAAUGAUUUUAUGGUGAAGCUGCAAUCGCAAUGGCAGUGACGAAGUUUUGCUGCAUCCAUCAUCGGAUUUUGUUGGAAGCUACAACCGCCUGCCAGCGAUGCUGGAACCGGCAGUGCGAGGAGCUGCGAGCGGCACACGUCGAUGCUACAACCGCCUGGGCGUGAAGCUACGACCCCCAGCAUCCUUUGCUGGAAGCGGUCACCGGCGAUGCUACAACCUUCAUCGACGGAUGCUACAACCGUCAACGACAA
Long non-coding RNA from Triticum dicoccoides, 687 nucleotides. RefSeq lists it as uncharacterized. The transcript has 2 exons. The record is from RefSeq and is a predicted model, not a curated record. NCBI's taxonomy places the organism in Eukaryota, Viridiplantae, Streptophyta, Magnoliopsida, Poales, Poaceae.